UACGUAGGGUGCGAGCGUUGUCCGGAAUUAUUGGGCGUAAAGAGCUCGUAGGCGGCUUGUCGCGUCGGUUGUGAAAGCCCGGGGCUUAACCCCGGGUCUGCAGUCGAUACGGGCAGGCUAGAGUUCGGUAGGGGAGAUCGGAAUUCCUGGUGUAGCGGUGAAAUGCGCAGAUAUCGGGAGGAACACCUAUGGCGAAGGCAGCUCGCUGGGACGGUACUGACGCUGAGACGCGAAAGCGUGGGGAGCAAACAGG
Molecule: ribosomal RNA, 253 nt
Filed under: uncultured bacterium
Lineage: Bacteria
Description: partial 16S ribosomal RNA
Rfam family: Bacterial small subunit ribosomal RNA
Source: RNAcentral